RNAcentral lists this ribosomal RNA (253 nucleotides) under uncultured bacterium. RNAcentral describes it as "partial 16S ribosomal RNA". It matches the Rfam family "Bacterial small subunit ribosomal RNA", at positions 524 to 776 of the family's 1533-position model. The record is from RNAcentral.
GACAGAGGCCCCGAGCGUUAGGCGGAAUCACUGGGCUUAAAGCGUGUGUAGGCGGACCGGUAAGUACCUUGUGAAAUCCCACGGCUCACCCGUGGAACUGCUGGGUAUACUGCCGGUCUUGGGCCAACUAGGGGCGACUGGAACAAGCGGUGGAGCGGUGAAAUGCGUAGAUAUCGCUUGGAACGCCGACGGUGAAAACAGGUCGCUGGGGUUGUGCCGACGCUGAGACACGAAAGCCAGGGGAGCGAACGGG